Molecule: long non-coding RNA, 280 nt
Organism: Arabidopsis thaliana (thale cress)
Lineage: Eukaryota; Viridiplantae; Streptophyta; Magnoliopsida; Brassicales; Brassicaceae
Product: other RNA
Exons: 1
Source: RefSeq
UUGAGAGAUUCACCCUUUGUCCUGAUUCAAACUGGUAAUUUUGGAGAGGAUUUGAUUCAUCAGAGACAAAGCAUAAACAACUCCAUUUGAUCCAUCUUUCUGCAAACCCCAACUUCUUGAUAGUUUUCUCAACAAAGGUCCACUAUAAACCCACUCCGCUCAGUCUUCGCUCUAGGCUCUAGACCUUUGAAAAUCCCCUCCUCACUCUCAUCCUCAAGAGGAGAAAAGGUUAGAGAAGUACUUGCAAGCCAUAAAAAUCCCAUCUGUUGGUUGAUCUUCU